UUCGCGCAGGUGCGUCGCCCUCUCUCCACGUCCACGGCGCCGAGUCUCGCCACGGUGGCGCAGGCGCCAGGGAGGUUCCCCGGCUUUGCCGCGCGGAGGAAGUCCCGGUUACGCAGAGCGCGCUGGGGCAGGGCUGACCUUCCCCUUUCUCUACUUCACUGGCCUCCUCCAGACGUGGUGGUUGCGCCCUUUCGGCCUCGCUUUCCGUUUUUUGGCUUCAUCCCCUAGAUCUGCAAACAGUUCCUCGUGUUUCUUCCGUUAGCCGGGAAACGCGAACUGCAGCGUUUGGGACCCGGGUUUGCGCGUGUGGAAAGCAAAAGGGGUUACUCUGCUGGAGUUCGACAUUGCAAAUAAAGGGUUGAGUUUGUGCAUCGAUUGUGAACACAACAGGCAGCAGGCUAUAAUGGUGGUCCUGGCUGGAGUAGUUUUCACAGACUUCAGUAAUCUGUGGAGAUGAACGGGCAGUUCUCUGUAGUUUUCACAGAUCACUGCCAGUUCGUUUUGAGGCCUUCAGGAGUGAAGACCUGGCUCAUCAUCACUCUUUGUUGUUUUGUUAAAUUUAUUUACACCCUACUUUAUUCCAGAGGAAAGGAUUUAACGUAGUUUACAUAAAUGUGUACAUCAGGGUAAAUUAAAAAUAAGUACAGAGAAAAAUAGGACAAAAGAAAACCGUGAGUGUGAAAGAUAAGAUUAAGCCAGCAGUUUUGUAUGCAAAAUGCAUGGUGUAAGGUCCUAUUGGUUUGCUGGAGGUAGGCCACACAUAUGACUCUCAGUUUUCUAGCAACCAAGAAAAAGAUCAGUUGCAAUCGGAGUAGGUGUUUUGGCUAAGCUGGAACUAGGACUUGAAUAUAGCAGCUUGUAGAGUUAUACCACUUGCCCAAAUCUCUUCCAUGAGCCUCUUUAAGUGUAACAGAAUGCCUGGGAGCACGUAAAUGCUCCUACUUAGAUGCCUACUUAGCCUCUAAUUUUCAUGGGGCCCAUGAAUCCCAUGAAAAAGAACUUUGAACCCUGUCCACAAUUAGAGUUCAGGUAUACGCAGACAUGUUUAAAGACAAGGGACACCCAAAGGAAAGAUUGCACAGAGAGAAAGUGAGCAUCCGAGAGAAAAUCACCACAAGUGAGGCAGAGGGAGGCCGGUCUCAGCAGAGUUUUGGAGGUCGUGAGAAGAAGAGGUAGGAGAUAGGAGAGUGGUUCCGAGUACUUGCCUGCUGAUGUUACCUUCUCCACCCCCACCAGGUUUUCCAGUGCCUGGAGUCUUGGGCAGGAAUGGGCCACUGUAAGAAAGAGCUUUAUCACUAGGGCCUCAGCCAACUUUUCUGUGGGAUAUCCCUCCAAAAUAAUUAAGAGUUCAGAAUGCUUCAGAUUUUGAAGUGAAACUGGUACAUAUAUUAAGUGUUACUUAAUAACCCGAUAGUUUCUAGGGCAGCUCACCAUAAUCCCAAGUAUUAGCCACCACCCUCACCCCCUUCAGAGUAAAAUGUGUUUCCUGAAGGAAGUUGGGAAAAUGAAGAAAAAAAAUACAAAAAUCACCUAUAAUCUUACCAGUCAUAGAUGGCAGUUUUCCUGUCUUAUUUCUGAAUAAUGGUUGUUAAACAUUUGCCAGCACACCAUAAGGCUUAGGGAGGCAUCUGGGUCAUGCAUGUUAAUAUCCUUGGGUAAUUCCAGAAAUCUCUAUGAAGGGAAACUCCUGUUAUUUAUCUAGACUUCCUGAUUGCAAGGGGUUUGGGCAUCAUGAUUUAGGGGUCUUAAUAAAAUUAUUAUUUUAUUUUUACUAAUAGAUAAUGUCUGUGCCUAUCAGAUAAAGGCAAACCAGUGCUCAGAGGAACCCAACCAUCUCUGAAUUGAGACCAGAGAGCUGUCUCUAUGGAUAGUCCUUAGAGAAGGCAUUUCGGAACACAGUAAACAGCAGCCUGGUGACUCCGAUUACAGGGCCAGUUGCCUUUGUUACAAUAAAAGCAAGUCAUCUACACAGACAAACUGCGGCCUGGACCAGCUGGUGAAACAUAAUUCUGAAUCCUGCCCACAGCCUUCGGUGGUUUUGGAUGAAAGGCCAGCGCCUUGGGAGCCCUGCGUUUGAUUUCAAGUUUUAAGGCCGGCACUGGUGGAGCAAUGAAUGGUGAAAGCUCUCCCCUUAAAGGAGCACAGUUGCCUUUAGGUGACUGCUAACUCAGGCUUUUGCUGAGGACAGUGUUUACUUUGUGAGCUUAAUGACAGGGCUGGCUUUCUGGGAGUGUUGCAAUGAAACAGACUCAGACACAGGCCAUCAUGGGCCUCCUCCCUAGCAAGGCCGCCACGGCUGGCAUCUCAAGAGCAGUCCGUUGAACUUGGGAUUUGGGUGUGAGACACAGUUUCAUCAGAAGAAUUUAAACCAAAGUCUACAUUUGCCCUCUA
RNAcentral lists this long non-coding RNA (2391 nucleotides) under Homo sapiens (human). Its description in RNAcentral is "HSALNT0301340". The record is from RNAcentral. Lineage: Eukaryota; Metazoa; Chordata; Mammalia; Primates; Hominidae.